GCGCCAAAGAUUUAUCGGCAGAGGAUGGGCCUGCGUCUGAUUAGUUAGUUGGUGGGGUAACGGCCUACCAAGGCGACGAUCAGUAGCCGACCUGAGAGGGUGAUCGGCCACAUUGGAACUGAGACACGGUCCAAACUCCUACGGGAGGCAGCAGUGGAGAAUCUUGCACAAGGGGCGAAAGCCUGAUGCAGCAACGCCGCGUGAAGGAAAGAGGCCCUUGGGUCGUAAACUUCUUUCUAAGGGAAGAUAAUGACG
RNAcentral lists this ribosomal RNA (255 nucleotides) under uncultured bacterium. RNAcentral's name for it is "partial 16S ribosomal RNA". It matches the Rfam family "Bacterial small subunit ribosomal RNA", at positions 198 to 456 of the family's 1533-position model. The record is from RNAcentral.